GAUGAACGCUGGCGGCGUGCCUAAUACAUGCAAGUCGAGCGAACAGACGAUGAGCUGGGUACUUGUACGUAAGCGGCGAACAGGUGAGUAACAAGUAGGUGACCUACCUAGGAUACUGGGAUAACUUCGGGAAAACGGAGGUAAGACCGGAGAAUAUUGCAAACCGCAUGGUUCGAUGGGGAAAGGUGGCGUGGCUAUCACUUAGCGAUUGACCUGCGCCGUAUUAGCUAGUUGGUAAGGUAACGGGUUACCAAGGCAACGAUACGUAGCCGACCGGAGAGAGUGAUCGGCCACACUGGAGCUGGGACACGGUCCAGACUCCUACGGGAGGCAGCAGUAGGGAAUCUGCCGCAAUGGGCGAAAGCCUGACGGAGCAACGCCGCGUGAGUGAUGAAGGUCUUCGGAUCGUAAAACUCUGUUAUUAGGGAAGAACAAACGUGUAAGUAACUGUGCACGUAUUGACGGUACCUAAUCAGAAAGCCACGGCUAACUACGUG
RNAcentral lists this ribosomal RNA (497 nucleotides) under uncultured bacterium. RNAcentral's name for it is "partial 16S ribosomal RNA". It matches the Rfam family "Bacterial small subunit ribosomal RNA", at positions 28 to 507 of the family's 1533-position model. The record is from RNAcentral.